CGCGGUUAUACAAAUCAUUUUGAGUAAAUUUUUAUUGGUUUAUAUUUAUUUUUAUUUUUAUUAUAAAUUUUGGAUGUUAUUUGGUGGAAUAAUUAAUUUUUAUUAUUAUAUGAGUUUAGGAUUAUAUAUUAAAUCUAUAUUAUAGACUAGGAUUAGAUACCCUAUUAUUAUUAGUUGUAAAUUAGUAACCAUAUUAUUAAUAGUUAUAUUCUUUAAAUUAAAAGAACUUGGCGGUAAUUUAAUCUUUCCAGAGGAACCUGUCCUUUAAUUGAUAUUCCACGAAGUAUAUUACUUUAAUUUUAAGCUUGUAUACCUCUGUUGAUGAAUGUUUUGUAAGAAUAUUUUCUAUGUUUAAUUUUAUAUUUAAUGUUAGGUCAAGGUGCAGCAAUAUUAAAGUAGUGAUGGGUUACAUUAUUAAUAUAUUUGGAUUAAUAAAUUGAUAUUUAUUAUGAAAUAGGAUUUGGUAGUAAAUUCUUUUAUCUAUUAGGGUUGAUUUUUGCUCUAGAUUAUGUACAUAUCGCCCGUCACUCUCGUUUAUAUACGGGAUAAGUCGUAACAAAGGUAGUUUUACUGGAAAGUGAAGCUGGAUAAU
Molecule: ribosomal RNA, 592 nt
Filed under: Longivalvus hyalospilus
Lineage: Eukaryota; Metazoa; Arthropoda; Insecta; Psocodea; Psocidae
Description: 12S ribosomal RNA
Source: RNAcentral